Molecule: antisense RNA, 69 nt
Filed under: Mycobacterium asiaticum
Lineage: Bacteria; Bacillati; Actinomycetota; Actinomycetes; Mycobacteriales; Mycobacteriaceae
Description: ASpks TB sRNA
Rfam family: ASpks TB sRNA
Source: Rfam by way of RNAcentral
CUUGAUCGACCCCAACCACAGCGGUUGGCUGCGGUCCUGGCCGUAGGUGGCCAGGAGCGCCUGCGCCUC